GAUGAACGCUGGCGGCGUGCCUAAUACAUGCAAGUCGAGCGAACAGAUGAGGAGCUUGCUCCUCUGACGUUAGCGGCGGACGGGGGAGUAACACGCGGAUAACCUACCUUUAAGACUGGGAUAACUUCGGGAAACCGGGGCUAAUACCGGAUAAUAUAUUGAACCGCAUGGUUCAAUAGUGAAAGACGGUUUUGCUGUCACUUAUAGAUGGAUCCGCGCCGCAUUAGCUAGUUGGUAAGGUAACGGCUUACCAAGGCAACGAUGCGUAGCCGACCUGAGAGGGUGAUCGGCCACACUGGAACUGAGACACGGUCCAGACUCCUACGGGAGGCAGCAGUAGGGAAUCUUCCGCAAUGGGCGAAAGCCUGACGGAGCAACGCCGCGUGAGUGAUGAAGGUCUUCGGAUCGUAAAACUCUGUUAUUAGGGAAGAACAAAUGUGUAAGUAACUAUGCACGUCUUGACGGUACCUAAUCAGAAAGCCACGGCUAACUACGUG
RNAcentral lists this ribosomal RNA (497 nucleotides) under uncultured bacterium. Its description in RNAcentral is "partial 16S ribosomal RNA". It matches the Rfam family "Bacterial small subunit ribosomal RNA", at positions 28 to 507 of the family's 1533-position model. The record is from RNAcentral.